CAGUAGCCGCGGGAAUACAGAGGGUGCGAGCGUUAAUCGGAUUUACUGGGCGUAAAGCGUGCGUAGGCGGCUUUUCAAGUCGGAUGUGAAAUCCCUGAGCUUAACUUAGGAAUUGCAUUCGAUACUGGGAAGCUAGAGUAUGGGAGAGGAUGGUAGAAUUCCAGGUGUAGCGGUGAAAUGCGUAGAGAUCUGGAGGAAUACCGAUGGCGAAGGCAGCCAUCUGGCCUAAUACUGACGCUGAGGUACGAAAGCAUGGGGAGCAAACAGGAUUAGAUACCCCUGUAGUCCCUGUCUCUUAUAC
This 301-nucleotide ribosomal RNA is filed under the name uncultured bacterium. RNAcentral's name for it is "partial 16S ribosomal RNA". It matches the Rfam family "Bacterial small subunit ribosomal RNA", at positions 509 to 807 of the family's 1533-position model. The record is from RNAcentral.